AGAUUGAACGCUGGCGGCAUGCUUUACACAUGCAAGUCGAACGGCAGCGCGGGGCAACCUGGCGGCGAGUGGCGAACGGGUGAGUAAUAUAUCGGAACGUACCCAAGAGUGGGGGAUAACGUAGCGAAAGUUACGCUAAUACCGCAUACGAUCUAAGGAUGAAAGCAGGGGACCGCAAGGCCUUGUGCUCCUGGAGCGGCCGAUAUCUGAUUAGCUAGUUGGUAGGUAAAGGCCUACCAAGGCUACGAUCAGUAGCUGGUCUGAGAGGACGACCAGCCACACUGGAACUGAGACACGGUCCAGCUACCUACGGGAGGCAGCAGGUGGGAAUUUGGACAAGUGGGCGCAAGCCUGAUCCAGCAAUGCCGCGUGAGUGAAGAGGCCUUGGUUGUAAGUCUCUUUGUCAGGAAGAACGGUGGGCGUAAU
RNAcentral lists this ribosomal RNA (426 nucleotides) under uncultured soil bacterium. RNAcentral's name for it is "bacterial SSU rRNA". It matches the Rfam family "Bacterial small subunit ribosomal RNA", at positions 26 to 462 of the family's 1533-position model. The record is from RNAcentral.